AUACGGAGGGUGCAAGCGUUACUCGGAAUCACUGGGCGUAAAGGACGCGUAGGCGGGUUUGUAAGUCAGGUGUGAAAUCCUACAGCUCAACUGUAGAACUGCACUUGAAACUACAGACCUAGAGUAUGGAAGGGGCAGAUGGAAUUAGUGGUGUAGGGGUAAAAUCCGUAGAUAUCACUAGGAAUACCGAAAGCGAAGGCGAUCUGCUGGGACAUUACUGACGCUGAGGCGUGAAAGCGUGGGGAGCAAACAGGAUUAGAUACCCUAGUAGUCC
Molecule: ribosomal RNA, 274 nt
Filed under: uncultured bacterium
Lineage: Bacteria
Description: partial 16S ribosomal RNA
Rfam family: Bacterial small subunit ribosomal RNA
Source: RNAcentral